AAGGAGUCUAACACAUAUGCGAGUAUUUGGGUGUUAAACCAAAGAUGCGCAAUGAAAGUAUUAAGGUGGGAUCUUCGGUGCACCAACGACCGGUCUGGAUAUUUUUAUAAAGAUCUGAGUAAGAGCAUAUUUGUUAGGACCCGAAAGAUGGUGAACUAUGCCUGAGUAGGGCGAAGCCAGAGGAAACUCUGGUGGAAGCUCGUAGGGGUACUAACGUGCAAAUCGAUCCUCAAAUUUGGGUAUAGGGGCGAAAGACUAAUCGAACUAUCUAGUAGCUGGUUCCCUC
RNAcentral lists this unclassified non-coding RNA (286 nucleotides) under uncultured fungus. Its description in RNAcentral is "partial contains 5.8S rRNA, ITS2 and 28S rRNA". It matches the Rfam family "Eukaryotic large subunit ribosomal RNA", at positions 668 to 961 of the family's 3401-position model. Lineage: Eukaryota; Fungi. The record is from RNAcentral.